This 227-nucleotide long non-coding RNA is filed under the name Elaeis guineensis (African oil palm). RNAcentral's name for it is "long non-coding RNA (EGUI_LNC064693)". The record is from RNAcentral. Lineage: Eukaryota; Viridiplantae; Streptophyta; Magnoliopsida; Arecales; Arecaceae.
ACCUCAGAUUUGAAGAUUUUUAUCUCGAAUUUGAAGGAUUUACCUUAGAGGGAGACUCUUAGAAAAUCUUUGGAGGACUAACUUACCAGACCCCAGCAAAGUCCAAGUCAUGCGAGAAGCAGAGAGAGAUCCUUAGGGAACCUCCGGAAGGCUAACUUACUAGAUCCUCGAGAAGACCUCGAUGACUUUGAGGCGGGGCUAACUUACUAGACCUCAGCAAAGCCCAA